AUUGAACGCUGGCGGCAGGCCUAACACAUGCAAGUCGAGCGGAUGAAGGGAGCUUGCUCCUGGAUUCAGCGGCGGACGGGUGAGUAAUGCCUAGGAAUCUGCCUGGUAGUGGGGGAUAACGUCCGGAAACGGGCGCUAAUACCGCAUACGUCCUGAGGGAGAAAGUGGGGGAUCUUCGGACCUCACGCUAUCAGAUGAGCCUAGGUCGGGUUAGCUAGUUGGUGGGGUAAAGGCCUACCAAGGCGACGAUCCGUAACUGGUCUGAGAGGAUGAUCAGUCACACUGGAACUGAGACACGGUCCAGACUCCUACGGGAGGCAGCAGUGGGGAAUAUUGGACAAUGGGCGAAAGCCUGAUCCAGCCAUGCCGAGUGUGUGAAGAAGGUCUUCGGAUUGUAAAGCACUUUAAGUUGGGAGGAAGGGCAGUAAGUUAAUACCUUGCUGUUUUGACGUUACCAACAGAAUAAGCACCGGCUAACUUCGUG
Molecule: ribosomal RNA, 484 nt
Filed under: uncultured bacterium
Lineage: Bacteria
Description: partial 16S ribosomal RNA
Rfam family: Bacterial small subunit ribosomal RNA
Source: RNAcentral